CGGUGGUUGGAGCAGGUGAAAUGGUGGUAGAUGCAGUAGUUACAUUGGCAACAGUAGGCAGAACAGUAGGUGCAGCAGUAGGUGUAUCAGCAUAACACCUAGACUCUUUUUUACUAAUUGUGCCAUUUUGAACAAAAGGCUGCAUAGUAACAUUCCAGAAAAUCUGUGUUACGUUUUCUGCUUCCAAAGAGGUAGUAUGAUGACACACAAAGACAUUAUUCAGUUGAAUUGGAUGCAUAGCGUCCUUUACAACAAUUGUAACUGGUCCUUGUCUCCUAGCAUCAGGAAAGACAGCAGUAUCAUUGGUGUUGUAGGUAAAUGUGAUAAACUCAGCCCGAUAAGUUUCGUUGUUUUUUGUGAAGUUAAUGCUCCAAGAGUGACCAUCUCCAAACUGCACUGCCAGAAGUGCAGCUUGUGUGUCACUGCCACAGAUGCUUCCGUUGUGUGUCACAGUGGAUGUCAAAUCCAAGCUUGCAUUUUUAUAAUCACUACUGUUUGUUUCAUAUUUUAUCAAGAAUUUCAUCAUCCAUUGUGCGUACAAGCAUGUAAAAUUAGAGGCAUCCUUUACAUCUACUUCCACUGCAUAGGACUGGAAAAAACCGCAGGCACCGAGGAGGAGCAGCAGCAGCGCGAGACCGGCGGGGCAGCGCGGCGGUGCCAUACUGCCGGCCGAGGGGCUCUUCCGAGGGGCAGGCGGGCGCGGCAACAGCGUCGACAUCGCUCCACUUUCCAAGCUGUGCAGUGGCAUGGGGACUCACUGAGAUCCGGGCACCUGCAUGAAGAACGGCGUUGCCCAGCACAGCCUGGCAGCAGAGCGCUUCAGCUGCGGCUGUUACUGGGGAAGCAUGACGGCCACAGCUCUGAAACAAUCACUUUCUAUCUCAACUGUGUGAAAGCUGCGCUUCACCCCCGCUCAGAGCAGAUGGCGGCGUUUCUGAGCUGCUGCUUUUCUGGAGGAGGUGGUGAUGGGAAACCAAACCAUUAAAUGCUGCUGGGCCAGCAAACUGCUGAGUCAAGACUGGGGCAAUCACGUGGAAUGCCAAAAAAAGAAACCUUUGUGCUGAGGUGAAGGGAUCGGAGCCCAGGCUGCAGCGGGCGGCUGCAGUGUUUCCUGCAAAAGCCCACUGAGAGCUCACGCUGUGACACAGCUGGAAAAACAUGUUCCCAGCCUGCACGCAGAAGCAAAGAGACAAUGGUGGCCCCGGAUGCCUACCAGUAGUUACGCUGUAACAGUGUCAAAGGUUAAGGCAGAUUUUCUGCAGAUCAUGUAAAGAACUGUACUACAGUUACUAGAGGGUGACAGUAAGUAAUUCAGUAGGAGAAAAAAACCACCUGCUCCAUCUGUCAACUGAGGACUGCAUACAAAGAAGCCUGAGAAAACUUCCCAACAAGAAAAUACAGAAUUAAACAAUGGACCAAAAAAGCAGUAAGGAUGGGAGACAUCCAAUACAAAACAGACACACACACCCCCUCUCUCACAUGUAGGCCCCUGAAAGUGGGAUCACAGUGAUAAAAGUUAGAGAUCAUAGAGCGGUGUGAAAGACAUCUGUCAUAUCAGGGGACUCUCCUCUUCAGACCCAGAGUCAAAUGGAAUUAUGAAGACCAGAUACUUUCUUGCAGCUUCCUGCACAUCUUACUAAAUAACAUGCAAAGAGUUCAACAGCAUUCUUCUUAAAAUGUAAAUAGUACUCUUUAAAUGGGCAUGUUAACCACUGAAAGAAGUCCACUCUACUAUACUCCUCCAUUACACUGCUUUCAUUCAGUCAUCGGUAGUAUAAAAAGUCAAUUAACGGGAUUAACAGGCUAGUUUAUCCACUGGCAAUUGCGUAUGACACCAAGUGUGCAGUAAAACAAAGGCCAACAUAUGUUUACGCAAUAUAGUUGUACUGAUUUGGGUUUUCUUUAUCUCUUUCCAUGUAGUCUCUGUCAAUUAAGGAUUCUAUUCUCUUCUUAAGGUCAGCAGGCUGUAAAUUAAAGCAGAUGUCAGCAUUAUUAUUUUGUAGUCGACGCUUCUCAAUCCUACCUAAGCCAAAUAUCCAUACUGCUUGAGAUGACUGAUGAACCAUAUUAUAACUUACAUCUCUCAACACAUCAAAGCUUCUUAAACUUGCAGUGUGCAAUUAAAGAGAAAGUUACAAGAUUAGACAGAAUGCACCAUAUAUCUGAGCUCAGAUGUUAUCACAGAAUCACAGAAUCUAUGUUAUCUAAGCUAUGUCACUGUCUUUUGGAAAAUCAGUUUGCACUUGUACACAGUAAGCUAUUCUUUCUCAUAUUGCAUCUGUUACUACUAACAAACUCCCAGUUCUGAAAACCUUUACUAUGUUGUACUAAUGAAGAGGUUAACAUUCAGAUAAACUAAUGAAACCGACACUUUAAAAAAUCCUGAAAUUACGUACUUUUUGUUCCUUCUAUCAGGAAAGGGAACACAUGUUUCAGAUAGAAGCACUGUUUAACUGAGAACAGGUCAAGGAAUGUGAAGAGAGGUAAUACAUUUUGAAAACAAAAGAAAUCAGUACUACACCUUUACUGGGAAUUUAAGCUGGUUGUAGACCUCUGACACAAGCAAGUUAUGACUCAGUGUUUUUCGCAUCUUCAUAAUUCGAACAAUAGCGGCAUCAAUCUGGUAUUGCCGGUCCUGGAAUACUCUCUCUGUAGUGCUUGCCUGUUCCUCUACCUGAUGGAUCCAUUUAAAAAGAGUUUUAAAGAGAACAUCAGAACUGUUGAAUCCAUUCUUCUUCAUAUCUAAGACAAGUCUUAUUGUGAGACACUAAAAGGUCUACUGUAAAAUACUGGACAUAAAUCCUACAAAAUAUGGAAGUCCACUGUCUUAAGAACUUGUACUCAAGAGCAAAAUCUUUGCACAACUUUUACAUUGGUUGGCAAAUUCACAGUGAAUUUGUUUCUAUGUUCACAAAUCAGUAAAGGUCUAGGGAAUGAUUAAGGGUGAACAGAACAUUCAUACUUGGAACCUCUGCUAAUCAACCUUAGAGAUGUCAAGGAUGAUCGAUAUCUAAGUUAGCACAGAAGCUCACGUUUAAAUCUCCACUAUUAAGUGGAGAUAUCAUCCAAAGAGAUAUCAUCCAAAAUACAUGUGCAUCCUUCACACAGAUACCAUUAUGUACAUUACAACCGAGAGGAAUAAAGCUUGUAAAUGGGCAAGCAAUGAGAUACUUAACCCAAGAAUAAAAAACCUAGAGUAUUAGAAAAAACAACAAAAAAUAUACCGUUUCUUUCAUCUGAAUUUGGUUGAUUUUUAUCCUGAACAGCUUAUGUCUGAAAUCAUCAUUGCAUGUGAAUUUAUCACCAUCUUCCACAUCUUUUCCUUUGGGGCUCUUUGUCAGUACUCUAGCUUUGCCACAAGCCAGAGACUGAAGUGUCCUUCGCAGCUCUCCAUCCUCUAUCCCAGUGGCUUGCUUUAUCUCCUCUAGACUGAACUCCUCUCCUUCAUUAAACAUGAGCAGCACUAGUGUCUGGAACAAGGAGACCUGAAGUUCUUUUUUGCCCUAUCACAGAGGAAAUAACAGACAUCAUUAGGUUGUUCUCAGGGGGGAUCAACUCACUCUUCCAUGUAAAUUAUUUCACUUACAGGAUGCAGUUGUUCCUUAUUCAUUUUAGAAUAUGAAAGAAUAAAAGUUAUUGUUCUCCUCAUGUUUACUAUGAAAUGCAGAGCAAGACAGAGGUCAGAUUAGACUACCAUACCCACUGACAAAAUUUGCUAAUGUAUGUAUCAAAUUUAGACACAUUCAAAUCCAAAGCGUGCUUAAAAUUACAAUUUGAAAGACCUUUAAUCCAAACUGUAAGACGAGCAUUAGUCUAAAAACAUAGUUGCUAUUACUAUCUCUUUAAUAACUAAGUUGGAUAACACUUGUUUUAUCAUUAACAUUAUGAAAAACAAAACUUAGUAAACAUUCCCAGCUUUCAAGGGAAAUCAUCACAAGAUAUAUUCAUGCCCACGAAGAAAUGAUAAAGGGAAAUACUGGGAAACUCUCUAAAAACUGC
Molecule: long non-coding RNA, 3999 nt
Filed under: Gallus gallus (chicken)
Lineage: Eukaryota; Metazoa; Chordata; Aves; Galliformes; Phasianidae
Source: RNAcentral